GAUCAUGGCUCAGAUUGAACGCUGGCGGAAUGCUUUACACAUGCAAGUCGAACGGUAGAGGGGGCAACCCUUGAGAGUGGCGAACGGGUGAGUAAUAUAUCGGAACGUGCCCAGUCGUGGGGGAUAACGUAGCGAAAGUUACGCUAAUACCGCAUACGAUCUACGGAUGAAAGCGGGGGACUCGCAAGAGCCUCGCGCGAUUGGAGCGGCCGAUAUCAGAUUAGGUAGUUGGUGAGGUAAAGGCUCACCAAGCCGACGAUCUGUAGCUGGUCUGAGAGGACGACCAGCCACACUGGGACUGAGACACGGCCCAGACUCCUACGGGAGGCAGCAGUGGGGAAUUUUGGACAAUGGGCGCAAGCCUGAUCCAGCAAUGCCGCGUGCAGGAUGAAGGCCUUCGGGUUGUAAACUGCUUUUGUACGGAACGAAAAGGUUUCUCUUAAUACGAGGAGCUCAUGACGGUACCGUAAGAAUAAGCACCGGCUAACUACGUG
RNAcentral lists this ribosomal RNA (494 nucleotides) under uncultured bacterium. Its description in RNAcentral is "bacterial SSU rRNA". It matches the Rfam family "Bacterial small subunit ribosomal RNA", at positions 15 to 507 of the family's 1533-position model. The record is from RNAcentral.